ACACUGCGGGUUGUGCUAGAUGGCGUGCUCCUGUAUAAUUCUUUGGUAAGCAAACGGCUCAUCAACUUCUAAUAGUUCAUCUGCUAAUUGUGUUCCGCUUUAGUUAAUCAAAUGACUCCCUGCUCUUUUAGAUACAUUUGUCCAAUAUGUUUCAAAUCAAUCGACCCCCAUUUUAUGUGUAGUAUCAACUGAAACUGCUAAAAUCAGUAGCUAAUUUGGAAUGCUAGUCUGGUAUGCCAUGUGGAUGGCAGCCAAGCAAAUUGGCGUGCCGAUUUGAUUGUGAGCUGACUGAAAACUGAUUGAAGACAUGAGUUAGUUAUAAACUGUCACUCUGUCAGGAAGAAGGGAAUUCGCUUAUUUCAUCCGUGCAAUCUCUAAUCCUUGAGCGAUUAUUCUCUUAGCACAGCUAGAAGCAUUGUUUCAGUCAAGUUAAGAACGCAUCAGCUUCAUGGCUGAUAGUUUGGAUCUAAAAAUGCAGUUAUCAGCAUGCUGAAAGUUUCCCUUUAUUAUGGAUAGAUGCAACAAUAAGAAUUAUAUCCGGCCAUAUCCUGCUAAAAAAAGAGAAUUAUAUCCUGCUAAAAAAAGAGAAUUAUAUCCUGCUAAAAAAAGGUAAGGUAUCCUGAGAUUGUUUUGCAAGUGAUAGUAUUACAUUGUAAGUCGAGUUAAGUUUCAGAUCCUCGCUGUUGUUGAUAUUAGAUCAGUAAAACGGGCCGUGUGACCAUAUUGCGCCGCAGACUGUUGUGAACUCUCCGAAUCAGUACAUCACCCGUCGCGAGCGCAAGUGCACAGAUGCCACUGGAGUAGGUCCAAAUGCUACGUUAAUGGAAAAUUCAAGUAUAAAAAUAGUAUUGGUUGUGAGUCGUCAAGAAUUGGAUGGCUCACUGGUGACAGCCUGAGAAUGCUUGGAGACUGCUUAGUUUUACUGUCUUUAUGCGAAUAAACACCUCAAGCCGCUCAUUGCUGAUGUCCUAUUCUAGGGGUUGCUACUUGGCAAGGUAUUACCAACGCAAUAAACUCAAUUUGUGUUUGUUUACUGUGCAGAAAUCAUCAAGGCAGUCGAUACAGGAGGAAGAAGCGGAGGCGAAAAAGAAGAUGAACAAUGAGCCCUCGGAAGAACAGCAGUAAACGAACAAUGUGUUAGGAACUGACAGUGGGAUGAGUAGAUGACCCAUUAGCUAAUUCCAAAGCUAGGCAUGUAAACAGUCUAGUUCCAGAUUGCUGUGGAAGGUGUGGCCUAUGGGAGAGCAAUGCACAAGGUUGUUCAUGAGAGGUUUUAGCGUUGUAACCUGUGACUAGUGGUUUAGAUUCCACUGGCAAACUUAUAUUUCAAAUCCUGAAUCGUCUGCGAAUAUUAGGAAAAGCAGCA
RNAcentral lists this long non-coding RNA (1366 nucleotides) under Brachypodium distachyon (stiff brome). RNAcentral describes it as "long non-coding RNA (BDIS_LNC001705)". Lineage: Eukaryota; Viridiplantae; Streptophyta; Magnoliopsida; Poales; Poaceae. The record is from RNAcentral.